RNAcentral lists this ribosomal RNA (496 nucleotides) under uncultured bacterium. Its description in RNAcentral is "bacterial SSU rRNA". It matches the Rfam family "Bacterial small subunit ribosomal RNA", at positions 28 to 519 of the family's 1533-position model. The record is from RNAcentral.
GAUGAACGCUAGCGGCAGGCUUAAUACAUGCAAGUCGAGGGGCAGCGCAGUGUAGCAAUACAUGGGCGGCGACCGGCAAACGGGUGCGGAACACGUACAGAACCUUCCUUCGAGCGGGGAAUAGCCCAGAGAAAUUUGGAUUAAUACCCCAUAGUAUAGUGGAGAGGCAUCUCUUUACUAUUAAAGAUUUAUCACUUGAAGAUGGCUGUGCGGCUGAUUAGGUAGUGGCGGGGUAACGGCCCACCAAGCCUGCGAUCAGUAACUGGUGUGAGAGCACGACCAGUCACACGGGCACUGAGACACGGGCCCGACUCCUACGGGAGGCAGCAGUAAGGAAUAUUGGUCAAUGGACGAAAGUCUGAACCAGCCAUGCCGCGUGGAGGAUGAAGGUCCUCUGGAUUGUAAACUUCUUUUAUCUGGGACGAAAAAGGCUUUUCUAAGUCGUCUGACGGUACCAGAUGAAUAAGCACCGGCUAACUCCGUGCCAGCAGCCGCA